This 309-nucleotide ribosomal RNA is filed under the name Triticum aestivum (bread wheat). RNAcentral's name for it is "partial small subunit ribosomal RNA". The record is from RNAcentral. Lineage: Eukaryota; Viridiplantae; Streptophyta; Magnoliopsida; Poales; Poaceae.
AUGCUUCCGAGGACCCCAGGCGACGCCUUCAAGAAGGAGCGCGACGAGGGUACGACGCCGUCGCCCGCAAGGGGAACUAGAGCUUUCGCCCAAAGGAAGAUCACGGUGAAGGACGGGAAAGGACCUCGACAAGGCCUCCAAGAAGGGGACCGACGCCCAGCAGACGCCGCCAUUGUCGUGGCCUCCGCCGACGGCCAAGGGUUUCCCCCGGUCCCGCCCCCAUCCCAUCCACCCAGCCAAAGACUGGCCAGGGGAGCGCACGCAGCCGGAGAAAGCGUUGGACUUCAUCGAAGCAGGCACGCCGGGUGA